AUACAUCAGACAUUAUUACUGCUCAACAUUAAAAACAAAUAUUACUACACUACCAGCAAGAAGAUAUAUUUCAGGAGGCAUUUAUAUGAUACAACAGAAUGAAUUAAAACAACUUGCUUCUGUCGGUGUGUGUGUCAGAGAGAGAGAGAGAGAGAGAGAGAGAGAGAGAGAGAGAGGG
Long non-coding RNA from Telopea speciosissima, 178 nucleotides. RefSeq lists it as uncharacterized. NCBI's taxonomy places the organism in Eukaryota, Viridiplantae, Streptophyta, Magnoliopsida, Proteales, Proteaceae. The record is from RefSeq and is a predicted model, not a curated record. The transcript is spliced from 3 exons.